GGCUUUGGGCCAGGCACUGAGUGGCAAACAAGAAGGAACACAUUCCGGGAAGGCAAGGAGCCCUGCCAGCACGAAGGCAGCAGCGAAAGCAGGGCUCUGCUGGGUACCAGGUGUUCCUUGGCUCUGUGGAGGUCAGGCACGCAGGCGGAUGAACUCAGGUUUCUCUAGAAUAUCAUUUCAGAGGCUUAAAUGCCUCCCACCCUCUCGCUGUCAGCGGACAGGGCAUGUGGAACUGUUAAACGUUAAAACUCUCUGCUCUGGGGCCCAGCCCGUGCUCUCUAAAUAAAGGUAGGAGCGGAAAGAGUGUUGUUGCCAUCAUGAAAUCACACUUCACAGGAGCCAGAUUUCGGCGAUUCUGUGUCUAAGAGAAAAUGCUAAUCCAAACAAGGGCAGGUUGGAGAAGAGCCUGGGAUUUCUAUGCCCUAGAAACUGCACUCUCCACCCUUGCAGCCCAGAAACACAAACACACACACACUUGUUCUCCACGCCUGCCUUCCGAGUGGCCAGAGCUGGGGGAAGUCUGGAGAGCCCUCGGAAACGCCGUCCUUUCAGAAUCAGCGCUGGCCCUUCCCCAGGUGAUGAGAGAAGAGAGCGAGGAGGACCAAAGCGGAAGCGGAUAGAGCCAUUCUUUUCGGGGCAAAUGGCCACACAAGCCUUCCUGAAGAUUCCCUUCUUACUUUGGAUAGGACACAGGACUGUUCAGAGAAGCUGUCUUUCUGUGCAUUUGUUGGUUGCUAGGGAAAAACAGGCCCAUAUCAGGAAGGGGGCUUCAUGAGGACACCUUUCCCUAACAGCCCCACCAUGCCCAUGGCCGCUGCCUCUGGCCCCCACCCAAGACUGGCCCUGAUAUUGAGGGUGACACUGAAAAUGUCACAGUUCAGAGGCAGCAGCGCAGGCAGAGGUUCUGGGAUGGCUGACGGAGUAGGCGGGUCUCACACAGCGUCUUUCCCGAAAGCCAGAAGUUCUGCUUAUGCCUAGGCUGAGCACAGGAGGCCUUAUCAAAGCUCAGGAGCUGAUGCGCUGAAGGUGUGGGAGGUGGACGCCCAUCAGCCUACAGGUGAGUGUGGCCAGGAGGGGAGGAGCCGUCUUAUACCAGGAAGUGGCCUCAGCCACCUUGGACAGUCAGGACAGCUUGAUGAUGAGAGCCAAACCAUCUCAAAAAUGUCCCUGAGGGAGAGCGUAGGAGGGAACAGAUCCUCUCUCCCUGGGCAGGUCGGGCUCUCCAAUGGCCUUUGAGUUCCUGCCUCCACUAAUCGCUCCAAAGAAUCAUUACCCUGUUCCUGCUCCUCCAGGCUACACAUCAAUAAAGCCUGAGCCGUCAAGCCAGCCCCAACCAAGUGGGCCCAGGGGCUGACCAAGAAAGAGAGGGUGGCCAAGAAGCAGGGCCGUGCUGGGGCAGUGUGGUGGUCAGGAACAGGUAACAAGGUCACGUGCAGUGGUCCUGCUGCAGAUUAGGAGCUGGAGCCUGGAACCUACAAAUCUCAAUGCUCAGUCACCCUCCGCUCUGUGACUGAGGCCAGCCAAAGUUCUCUUCUUCAAGAACAGAGUUUUCGCCUCAGCCCAAGAUCUGCCAGGACCCUCAGAGAUUGAUUCAGCCUCACCCGCUCCCACCAUACCAUUGUACAGAUUAUGAAACUGAGACCUGCCAAGGGACAGGCUGUGUCCGGUCCUACAGUGAACAGCCAGUGACCUCACCCACAAAAUCAGCCCAGCCAUGGCCAUGUGGCCUGGUUACCUCUGUCCUCAACCUUAGAGAGGAUUUUGCCACACAUAUCAACAUAUACCUACAACAGUCUUGUGAAGUGACAGAUUUUGCUAGAGAUUUGACUCUCAAAGUUGAUUUCUGGAUUUAUUUGGUUCCAUCAUGUCACAUUUCACAGAGGUUUUUUUUUUUCCCUUGAUUUUUAAAGAUUAUAGAAAAUAUGAAAAAUAUAUAUAAGAUCAAAAUCACCUAAAGAUUCCCCAAAAAUCACCCAAAUAAAAAAUGUAUGAUAAACAUAUAACCUAUGUAAAUGGUUAUAUAAUCUAUAAUUUGUAUACCCUAC
RNAcentral lists this long non-coding RNA (2045 nucleotides) under Homo sapiens (human). Its description in RNAcentral is "HSALNT0222411". The record is from RNAcentral. Lineage: Eukaryota; Metazoa; Chordata; Mammalia; Primates; Hominidae.